This is a long non-coding RNA of Columba livia (rock pigeon), 4112 nucleotides long. RefSeq lists it as uncharacterized. The record is from RefSeq and is a predicted model, not a curated record. NCBI's taxonomy places the organism in Eukaryota, Metazoa, Chordata, Aves, Columbiformes, Columbidae. The transcript has 3 exons.
CGGGAAGCAGAGGGAGCGGCGGAGACGCAAAGUUUCAGUCUUCAGCAGGCGGGGUGGCUGCGCCCCGGGGCUGGAGCCCGUUCCCGCCUCUGAGGGGGCGCGGAGCCCUUCAGCAUCGCGGACAGCCGCCGCGCCGCCCGCCUCUCGCAGCAGGGACCGCCGCGCAGACAAUGGCGAGGGUAAAGGAAACUGGACGUGGAAGAGAUGUCUAGGAGAUUGUACUGGAAAUGCAGACAGCCCUUUGUGCAGUCUAUUGAUGGGCAAUCCUGCUUGUGUUCAAAACAAGAGGAGUUUGGUUAUUCAUUUCCCUGGACUCACCAUUUGAGGCAUGGAGCUGAGCACUGAUCAGCACAGUCCAGAGCAAGGGAGACCUCUCUUUAGUUUUCUGUUGGAAUGAAUGGUGAAGUUUGUUUUUCAGCCAUGGUUUGUCACUUUGCAGUCCCCAGCUGCUCCAGAAGGGCUUCACAAGGUUGAGAACAGCUCUGCUUUUCAUCCCUGCAUCACUAGCUCUAGAAAAUGGGCUACUCAGUAACCAUUUCUUCUUCUCUGUGUGAUUCCUUGGCCCAUGACAUUUCUGCACCCGCUUAAGAAGGCUGGAUGAUGCCAGAGGGGCAACCAAGCCAGUCUUCUGUGCUGCAGGGGGAAGAGCUGUACAUGCCAGGUCUGCCUCCCGUGCUGGCUCUCCAAAUCAGGCAGUUCUAGAGUUUCAGGAAUAAUUUUUUCCUUGAGUAAUGGAAGAUUCACACACCAAAUGAUAUAUGUUCCGAUUCUAUAAGUGGUCUUCACAGUUUAUGAGAACUGAUAAUUCAGGUUUUGUGUAAGGAACACGUUCUGAAGCAUCUUCCAUAGGGCUAAGCAGCACUGAACAGUUUAAUGUUCUCUAGUACAUUCCCAGGUCCUUAUUAAUACAAGCAUGAAGCACAUUAUGUCAAAUUGUUCACUUGAGUGCAAUUUCUUUUGAUCUUGUUUAGCAUUUAUAACUAGAACUUAAAAGUCAGGUUGCUUUAGGCAGCUACAGGAGUAUGGUCUGCACUCUUUCCAUGUUAUUUCUCAUUAUGUUUUCUUUCUCCUGCAGUCUAUUCUUUUACUAGCGUCUGACUUUUCUGUUCUUCUAAUUGCAUUCUGCUUAGUGUAUCCUCUGUUCCAUUAACUCUCUUGCUCUCUUUUUGUGCCUGUUACAGACUUUCUAUCAAUUUUAAAGAUCACUGUUAUUGUUUUGGAUUGCAGUGAAAACAAGCAUUGAUAAAUGAAGGAGUGGAUAUGACAGUGGCUGUACAAAUGCUUUCUGUUGCACAGGAAUUAUCUAGUCUUCUGAUUUUCCCAGGAAAUAAAUUACCAUUGUUUUAAAAUAAUGAUACUAAAACAGUGCUUUAUGGUAAUGUCUUCAGAGGAUUGUUUUUAAGUCUGUCUAAACUUAAGACUGAAACUUCACUUUUGGCUCCUAAAUUAAGGUCUAAAUUUCAUUAAUACUCAGUCUCUGGCAGUUUCACCCUAGACAGUUGCCGCAUACCCUACCACAUCAGAAAAUCAUAGUAUUGGUGUCCCUGUGUGAUCGUAGGAAGGCAGUUUUAUAUUUGGUUGAGUUAGAAAAUUUGAUAAAUGUUAUUUUUACAUAUUCAGGAAGAAUUUACAUUGUUUUUAAGUAGUUCAGGAUGUGCUUUCAUUUGAAAGGACAAAAUUGUCUUAUACAUUGCUCACUGGAAUUGAUUAGGAGUGGCAGUCACAAAAAUACUGUGUUGGUCAUACAAAUUUUCAAAUUUCAAAUUUUCAAAUUUUAUCUGAAUUGUCCUUUAUCCAAAUUAAUGAAACAGAUACAGAUACUUUUGUGGACAUGGUCAUUCAAUAAAUCACGAAUAUUAUUUUCUACUAAAUCUUGUGCUGAUAAUCUACCUUGUGGUUAUUAAAAAAUAUUACUUAGAUGCCUUACUUUCCAUUAUUUUGGAUAAAUGAAUAAACGAUAAAAAAUAUUUUGUUAUAUUUAUGUCCAUGUUUGAUCAUGUGUACAAUUCUAGGCUGUGCUACAUCUUUAAUUUAUGUACUUUUUGCCAGAUGAUUUCAUGGGCAUUAGUGUGCCUUCAGAUUGCUACUAUAAUUAGUCACCAUGUGAUCUAGAGCCUAAUAAUCAUAUAUAAAUUCCCUACUAAUUACCCUAUAAUCUACUAUUUGUUGAUUAGAAGAGGGAUGAGUAUUUCUACUAUUAUUAAUCUCAAUUUACAUUAUAAUUAUAAGGUUGUUACAGAUUUUUCUCAUUUAUUCGCUUGACUAUGUUAUGUGGAAUUUUGUUGUGUUAAUAAAAUACUGCCUUUUUAUGUUCAUCCAUUUUAAUCCCUACUCAGCCAGCUUCUCCUUACAUGCACUUCUUGUCUGCGUUGUUCUUGGGCUGGUACACAUGCAGGUCACUACUACAGGUCAUCCUUUGUUUUCUCUGAAAAGUACCCAGGCAAGUUUUGAGGCUUCAGGAUGUAAGUCAACAUUUAUGUGAAAUAGUUACAAUGCUCAUGUCUAGUUUAAAUAUAGGGUGAAACCCUGCCCAUGCUGAAGGAAAAACACAGGAAGCUGUUGCUCUGUGGAUCAAGAAUGUGCACAUACCUGCUCUGAAGUUCAGGAGGAGGCAGGGUGGUUGGAUACUUGGGUGAAGAUGAAAGGGGAAAAGAAUAAGGUUAAUUUACUGGUAAGGAUUUACUAUAAACUGCCAAAAAUGAGGAGUAGGUGGAUGAAGCUGUUUUUGUGUAGCUCUGUAAUGCCUUGAAAUAACAGACUUGUAGUACGUGGCUUUAAUUAAUAUUGUAUCUUUGGAAGAGUAAGUUUGGUUUUCACACAAGGAAUAACAACUUGUCAGAUGGACACAAUGUUUUUAUUUGAAUAAAUGGUUAGUACUUGCAGUUUUAGGUGUGAUUCUAGCUAGCCAGAAAAUACCACAUGAAAAUUCAAAGACAGAAGACAUGUUGGUGUGAUUAAGAUGUAUCUGGGAUUCUAGGAAGAGGAUACAUGGAUGGAAGAGGGGGAUCAAGACUGAUAGAAGCGUAUUUCAACAAAGGAGAUUUAGCAAUUUCAAAGUGCUGUUAGGUAAUGCAUAUCAAGGCAUUUGGGGAUCAAAAAAAAAAAAACCAAAUAUAAAUACAAAAUAGGGAAUCACUCCUGAGGCAGAAGAAUUACAGAAAAGUAUUUUGGAGAUAUUGCAUACAGCAACACAAUAAAUGUAAAUUAACGGUGUGAUGUGGUUAAAAAUGCAAAUUUCAUUCUAGAGGGUAUUAGCAGUUGUGCUAUACAUACCACAGGUAGUAAUUAUUCUGCUUUUUCUAGAUCUAGUGAGACCUCAGCUAAAACGAUGUGUCUAAUUUUAGGAGUUGCUCUGUAUGAAAGAUGUAGGCAAGUGACAAACAGUUCAGUAUAGAGCUAAAAAUGCUAAAAGAUUUAGGCAAUAUGAUCUCUGAGGACAUUUUGAAAGCAUUGAGUUAACUUAGUCUAGAAGAAUAAGACUGUUAAAGGAUAAACCUCCAGUACAUACAGGCUGUUACAUAGUGGUAUUCAGUUAUCUUACAUGUCCACUGGAGGACAAGGACAACAUUGGCUGAAUUUGCAACAGGAGAGGUUUAAGUUGAAUGCAAAAAGAUAAUAUUCAAAACACAUUGAUAAUUAAUAAAAUGAACAAGCUGGCUAGUGUAAAAAUAGUACUUCUGUUAUUUGAGGCUUUGAAAGAGAGUCCAUCCUGGUGUGCAUCAAGAAUAGUGUGGCCAGCAGGACUAGAGAAAUGAUCAUUCCACUGUACUCGGUUCUGGCGAGGCCCCAUCUUGAAUCCUGUGUUCAGAUUUGGGCCCCUCAUGACAAGAAAGACAUUGAGAUGCUGGAGCAAGUUCAGAGAAGGGCAACGAAGCUGGUGAGGGGUCUGGAGCACAAGUCUGGUGAGGAGCGGCUGAGGGAACUGGGGCUGUUCAGCCUGGAGAAAACGGGACUGAGGGGAGACCUUAUCACUUUCUACAACUACCUGAAAGGAGGUCGUAGUGAGGUGCAUGCCAAUCUCUUCUCCCAAGUAGCAAGUGAUAGGGUGGGGGGAAUGGUCUCAAGUUGCUCCAGGGAAGAUUAAGAUUGGAUAUUAGGAAGAAUUUCUCCAU